This is a non-coding RNA of Cucurbita pepo subsp. pepo (vegetable marrow), 377 nucleotides long. The record is from RefSeq and is a predicted model, not a curated record. NCBI's taxonomy places the organism in Eukaryota, Viridiplantae, Streptophyta, Magnoliopsida, Cucurbitales, Cucurbitaceae.
CCAUCCACUCUUAUGUAUUUCACUCUUCCAGCUUCAUCCAAGGUUUUCAGACCAAUCCAGUCUUCAAUGUAGAGUUUUGUCUGCAGAAAUCAAGCAGAAGUGAUCAUAUUGUCGAACAAUGGAGCUAUCGGUAUGAUUAGAGAUGUCCAUUUAAUCUGCGUAAAAUUUCGGUUGACAUGGAGAACGGGGUAGAGAGUAGAGAGAGUUUUCUUUCUGUUGGCUAAAUGGGAAUGAGUAUGAGGUUAGAGAGAGUUUUCUUUCUGUUGGCUAAAUGGGAAUGAGUAUGAGGUUGAUUAUUUAUUUAUUGUUACCCAAUUCAAUGUUUAUAGCUAGAUUCAUUAUAUAAUAAGAGUUGCUUGGGUUUUACUAUCCGAAAA